Long non-coding RNA from Vigna umbellata (rice bean), 507 nucleotides. RefSeq lists it as uncharacterized. NCBI's taxonomy places the organism in Eukaryota, Viridiplantae, Streptophyta, Magnoliopsida, Fabales, Fabaceae. The record is from RefSeq and is a predicted model, not a curated record.
CUUUGCUCAACAUAAUCAAUAACUUCUGACUCAUCAACUAGCAGUAAUUCUUGCUGAGAGAUUUGAUCAGUGUCGCCUUGAACAAAGGCAGGAGUGGGUGAUCUUAUCUGCACUUCUUCCUCUGGUUCAGAGUUCGAGAUGGAUGAUUUGCAUCACAUGUGAGACUCAUGGUCUUAUCAUCUUCAGACAUCUACGAAUGUUGGUUCGGUCAUGGAUUAUCUCUCUAUCAUGCUUAGUGGGGUCAUCCUAGCCUUGCCAAGAUACGACAACUUGUUCCAAGUUUGUCUUGUAAGUCAUGUCAAUUAGGAAAACACGGUCUUAGUUCUUUUCUAAGAAGUGUUUCACAACGUGCUUUGUUUCCUUUUGCAUUAUUUCGUUCUGACAUCUGGGGGACCAAGUCAUGUUAAGUCAAAUUUAGGAUUUUAGUAUUUUGUCACUUUUAUUGAUGAUUAUUCAAGAUGUACUUGGUUGUUUUUAAUGAAAGAUCGGUCUGAGUUGUUGUCUAUA